CAAAUUCCACGCGACAAAUCUGUAGUGUAUAGAUGUUAAUUAUUAUGAAAAUUUUAUAAAACGUGAGAUGUAUCUAUUUGCAAAGCCAGUAUUGAUUUUGGUGUAAUCGCAUAGUCGGGAUACGUUACACCAAAACCAACCAUGAACAGCUCGCGUGCUGCCUGCACGAGCCAAAAUUCGCAUCUAGUUUGGAGAUGGUUGGUAGUCCACACACACAUGCAUACAGGCUUUGCAAAUAGAUACAUCUCACGUUUUAUAAAAUUUUCAUAAUAAUUAGCAUCUAUACACUACAAAAUCCUCAUGAAAAGAACAGACACAUCUAACGAAACACCGCAACUUUAUUGCUCAAAAGAAUAAAGUAAUAGGGGAGCCCAAAAACGCAACCUUUCCUCAGGAAUUGGCAACGUGUAAUUUAGGGCAAAUUCGCUAAUGACAGACUGUACAGCUUCUGAAGAUUCUAUAACACUAGCCCGAAUGUCACUAGUCCGAACGACACUAGCCCGAAUGCACCAUUAGCCCGAAUGUCACUAGCCCGAAUACCACAAGCCCGAAUCGAUAUUUAUCUAUCAGUAUCUUGGUAAUAAUAGAAUACGGAAGAGCAGCGUAUGUUCCAAAGAAGGAAAAACCAUCCAGUAAAUUGAUUAUGGCGCUAAUGGUGGUGCUAAUACGAUUUGCGUCAAUACAUCUUGAAAGAAUAGCCGAUAACUUAAAGAAGGAAAAAUCUCUGAUGAAAUUGUUAAUCUGUUUUCCCCAAAAUACCUUAUGCUACCAUUCGGGCUAGUGUUACAUUCAGGCUUGUUGCAUUCGGGCUAGUGUCUUUCGGGCUAGUGACUUUCGGGCUAGUGUUACAGAACCGCUUCUGAAGUAUUUGCUGGCAAGCUAAAAUGUGUGUUGGGGAUGAUGCUGGGUCAUUCGGCCGUAGGUCAUUAGGCCGAAUGGUCAUCAGGACGAACUGCAAUUUAGCAGUUACGAAACUAGAAACCGAUCGGUUUUUUUGUUUACCUUUUUCAAUAAUUAUUGCCAAUAGCUAUUUUAACAAUGAAGCUAGAAAUAAUAGCCUAUGUUCAAAAGAAGGAAAAAAAUAUUAUUUGAAUAUCAGCAGUUUCAGUACCAAAAAAUAUGUUGGCAAUGAUACUGGAAAGAACAGCCUAUGGUUGAAAGAAGGAAAAAUUCAGUUGAGGACAUUUCCUACCCUAAAAUUUUCUGAACUAUAUCAUCGAGAAUUGAAUCCAUACAUAUUCAGGAUCGUCCUGUUUCGUAACCGCGUACCUAAGGAAAAUUCAGUAUUCCAGGAAGGUAGCAGCCGUAAAUUUCUAUAAAAUAAACUAUUUCAGGUAUUGGAUGAUGUUUCGACAGUUUUCCUAGAAUUCAAUGCAGAUACGACCUGUUCAAAUCGAACGCCAGAUUUGAAUAUCUAAUCUGAAUACUAAUUUCUUAUUACUUGGCUGAGUGAAAUCAACUAAGAAUUUAAGUACAACAAACAUGUCUGAAACGAGACACACCAAAUAAUUUAAUACAUAGUCUUAAUAAAAAAGGCGUAGAAUUACGAUGGUUUUGUACUGAAUCCGCCUUUUUGAAAUUACGCCUUACGUUAUUUUCCGCCUUUCUUUACACUUCUAAGGUGGUCUGCCUUUCGAAUUUCCGCCUUUCGUAAUUCCGCCUUUCGUGUUUCCGCCUUUUGAUAGGCUCCCCAGCUGUACUGCCGUGAAUCGCAUAUCAGUCCCAUCUUUGCUGGAUUUCCUAUGCAAAUGGGACUGAUAUGCGAUUCAGGGCAGUGUACAUGCCGACAAAAACGAAGCUUUAUCCAAAACAGCCUGAAUUUAAAUUAACUGAACAAAAAUGAACUACUUCGGCGUAUUAUUCAUCCAUAAUAGUUGUUUUGUAAUGAAAUGACUUUAUAGGUGUAAAUAAUGUACGAAAUUCGUAAAAGUCUCAUGGUGUCCAUAUUGCCCCAUGGGGGUGUCCAUUCUGCCCCGUAUGCUUGAAGACGGUCAUGAAAAACUAACAUUUUUCAUAACAUUUUUUGAAGUGGAUAAAUCAUUUUUCUUCGUGAGCAUUCUUAUGCAAUAGAUGCUAAAUAGACUUUAAAAGGACACAUGUAUCAAAAAACUAAACUUUUUUGACAUCUUGCCAGGUAAAGUUGGCAAAAACCUUAGGGUGUCCAUAUUGCCCCGCCUACCCCUAUAGAAAGUUAUUGAAUGAAAAGUUUUAUUAACUGUCAUCCUGAUUUUGUUUGUUAAAAAUUAUAUCUCUUGAACCAUAAGAGACAAAAAUAUGGUUAUCGUGACCUAAAAUUAUGGAAGGACAGAUAAUAAUAAAAAGGAACUUCAAUGCAAAUGUACUUUCGACUUCCAAUUCACGAUGAAAAACUUCCAACACUAUCAACACGAUCAAGACUUUCAAUCUCAUGUAAAAUUCUUGCUCGUCCCAAAAACGGUGUCCGGCCGUUUGGUCAAAUGCCAUUUGGCCGAAUUAGGAUCAAAAGAAUUGAGAAGAACUUUUUGACAUUAUCAAUAUGAGCAUUAGAAAUAUUUCCUUCUUUGAGGGAUUGGUUGGUAUUGAAACUAUCAAUAUUUUAUCAUAGGGUUUUUUUAAUCAUAGGCUGUUCUUUCGAGGUGUACUAAUGUGAAUAAAAUGGCAUGAUCACUUUAAAAGACACGGACAACGUCUUCAGCUUCGGGCUGUACAGACUGUUUAAACUUAACACUAGACAAAGGAUGAAUAUGCACCAGUGGAAACGGGGAAGAAACUAUUCUUACGAAAAGUUUUAACGCCCGGAGCGGGAAUCGAACCCUCACCCCAUAGCAUGGUGCGAUUAUGAGCUUGGUGACCCUAACCGCACGACUACGAGGCUCCACAAAGUUAAGUUUAUCAUCCAUUUUUCGGCCAAACGGCAUAUGGCCAAAUGACCCGGAAUUCCCAAAACCGAUGUUGAGUAUAUUAUAUUUACUAUGCGCUGGCUGUAGAUUAUCAUUUUAUUUAUCAUAGCCUGCA
Long non-coding RNA from Aedes albopictus (Asian tiger mosquito), 2994 nucleotides. RefSeq lists it as uncharacterized. The record is from RefSeq and is a predicted model, not a curated record. The transcript is spliced from 2 exons. NCBI's taxonomy places the organism in Eukaryota, Metazoa, Arthropoda, Insecta, Diptera, Culicidae.